AGGACGCUCGCGAAGAAGGGUCGUCGUCCGAGGUUGCAGAUUUCGGCGCACACGGCUCUGCGUCGUCCGGGGUCUGUGCAGCGAAUGGGAGGGGUUUUGGUGAGGGAAGCAAACCGUGAGAGCCAAAAGAAUUGGGUUAAUGGGAAAAAAUUGAAAAUAGGAGUAAAGUAAGCUGCAGUGUGCUGGGGAUUAGGAAUGGAAGUAAAGCUUGAAGAGAUUCAAGUUGAUCCGCCGAAAUCAGGCGAAGUUCGAGUUAAGAUGCUUUGUGCUAGCAUCUGCCACACUAAUGUUUCAGGAAUUCAAGGAUCUCCAUAUGUUAAUGUGUUGUAGAGACAGUUGGAGAUGAAGUAAAAAAUCUUAAAGAAGGGGAUAUGGUGACUCCAACAUAUAAUAGGAGAGUGUGGACAGUUAUCAAUGGAUGGAGCGAGUAAUUUGCUUCUAGUUUUGAGCCUUGAUGAGUUUUGAAAAUGACCUUGUAAUGCAGGCUAUAAGCGGAGCGAAAAUGCUGGGGGCUACUAAGAUAAUAGGGAUUGACACAAAUGAGAUGAAGAGAGAAAAAGGGAAAGCUUUUGGAAUGACUGAUUUUAUAAAUCCUCAAGAUUCUGAUAAACCUCCAUCAGAAUUGGUGAUGGAUUUGGUGUGGAUUAUUCUUUUGAGUGCACUGGAGUUGCAUCUUUGAUUAGUGAAUCCUUAGCAGCCACAAAGAUGGGAACCGGUAAAGCAAUAACAAUUGGCGUGCCAAAUGAACCUAUUGUGCCUUUCAAUCAUACAGCAAUUCUGGCUGGCAGAACUCUGAAGGGUUCUGUUUUUGGAGGUCCAAAAGCCAUGUCAGACCCUUAAUACAUUGAUGAAAAAGUCUCACAAUUAUUUAAUGUAUUUGGACUAUUUAUUUACAUUUUCGCAGGAGUUCCCUCUUCAGGAGCUAUUCACCCAUGAGGUCCUAUUGACAGACAUAAGAAAAGCAUUUGAUCUAUUCAAAGAGCCAAAUUGUGUCUAAGUUGUCAUCAAGAUAUGAUUUUCUGGCAAUUGAUGGAUGUAAAAUUCAAAUUAUUCAGCUUCAGAUAGUUUUAUAGGAGCAUAUUCUGCUUUAAAAAUCACACAAGUUGCAGUCUGACAACUAUUCUGUGUGAAUAUAAAUAAAGAAUAGUUUGAUGCAUGUGUGUAUAAGUUGGCAGUCAUUUUACUUCACCGUUGUAAUGCAAAUAAAAAUAAUUUGUGAUAUGCAACAUAACUUUAUCCUAGUGCACAAUGUGCACUCAUAAAUAUUUUAAUAAGUAAGUUGUUCAGUUCCUACUUUGAAAAUUAUUCUUUCAGGCAGUAACUUUGCUAAUGUAAGCUCCUAAUUGCAGGAACAAGUGAACAAUGCUAUAUGAUUGACUGAAAAAAUUGUGUGACUGAAUUCAUUGUCAAUUUGUCGUCAUACAACAAAAGAUCUGAGAUUUAUAGCCCAUUCAAGCGAGAAGUGAUUCGCUGGAAGACAUGUUCACUGCAAGGAAUAGUGAGACCUCCCAUGGAAUGAUCAUAUCCAAACUCUUCUUCAGCUUGACUCAACAAGUCUUGGAAUGAAGGUUGGUUCAAGUAUGAUACGGGAAUCACAAAACGCUUUUGAUUCUCUCCAACAUACACUGCAAGAUACCCCUUUGGGAGUUCCACAGAUUUUGAAGCUGCUUGGCUAGCUGAGAAUGAUGACGCCCUUCGAAUAACAGGAUUGUGGGGUAUACACACGAGAGAUCACAUGGUGCUGUCUUAGAAGUGGUUAAGAGUGAAUGCCCCCACCUUCUCAAAUGAGAUAAGAUCAAACUGAAGCCUUGUAUUUGUUUGUAUUAAUUGGUAUUCCAUGCUUUUGUAAACAUGCUUUAGACAUGUCAAAUUUUGUUCUUGAUGGCUAUAUAUCAUAUAUCCAUAUCGCUUUAUGGACAUGUUUUAAGACAUCUCAUAUGAAUCCUUUCACGUACUGAUGUACCCUGUGAUCUGUUUUCUAUUGCAAUAAAUGUAUUCAUAUCCACUCUGCAUCAUUAUUAGACAAUUUCUACUGAUUUAGUAGGUUACCCAUUAGUAUGAAGAGCCAACUUAUGUGAUAUGUCUUAAGCAUGUCUGCGACAUAAGUAGUAGUCCAUUAAAUC
RNA transcript from Arachis stenosperma, 2123 nucleotides. It is a transcript of the gene named auxin-induced protein X10A-like, with no coding region annotated. The transcript is spliced from 6 exons. The record is from RefSeq and is a predicted model, not a curated record. Lineage: Eukaryota; Viridiplantae; Streptophyta; Magnoliopsida; Fabales; Fabaceae.